This 466-nucleotide ribosomal RNA is filed under the name uncultured bacterium. Its description in RNAcentral is "partial 16S ribosomal RNA". It matches the Rfam family "Bacterial small subunit ribosomal RNA", at positions 28 to 507 of the family's 1533-position model. The record is from RNAcentral.
GAUGAACGCUGGCGGCGUGCUUAACACAUGCAAGUCGAACGGAAAGGCCGAAGCUUGCUUCGGUACUCGAGUGGCGAACGGGUGAGUAACACGUGGGAGAUCUGCCCUGUACUUCGGGAUAAGCUUGGGAAACUGGGUCUAAUACCGGAUAUGACAAUCACUUGGAUGGGGUUGUGGAAAGCUUUGGCGGCAGGGGAUGAGCUCGCGGCCUAUCAGCUUGUUGGUGGGGUAAUGGCCUACCAAGGCGUCGCCGGGUAGCCGGCCUGAGAGGGUGUACGGCGACAUUGGGACUGAGAUACGGCCCAGACUCAUACGGGAGGCAGAAGUGGGGAAUAUUGCACAAUGGGCGCAAGCCUGAUGCAGCGACGCCGCGUGGGGGAUGACGGCCUUCGGGUUGUAAACUCCUUUCGCAACGGACGAAGCUUUUGUGACGGUAGGUUGAGAAGAAGCACCGGCUAACUACGUG